Molecule: ribosomal RNA, 480 nt
Filed under: uncultured Bacteroidota bacterium
Lineage: Bacteria; Pseudomonadati; Bacteroidota
Description: bacterial SSU rRNA
Rfam family: Bacterial small subunit ribosomal RNA
Source: RNAcentral
UAAGGAAUAUUGGUCAAUGGACGAAAGUCUGAACCAGCCAUGCCGCGUGGAGGAUGAAGGUCCUCUGGAUUGUAAACUUCUUUUAUAUGGGACGAAAAAAGGCUUUUCUAAGUCGUCUGACGGUACCAUAUGAAUAAGCACCGGCUAACUCCGUGCCAGCAGCCGCGGUAAUACGGAGGGUGCAAGCGUUAUCCGGAUUCACUGGGUUUAAAGGGUGCGUAGGUGGGUUGGUAAGUCAGUGGUGAAAUCCCCAAGCUUAACUUGGGAACUGCCAUUGAUACUAUCAGUCUUGAAUACCGUGGAGGUCAGCGGAAUAUGUCAUGUAGCGGUGAAAUGCUUAGAUAUGACAUAGAACACCAAUUGCGAAGGCAGCUGGCUACACGAAUAUUGACACUGAGGCACGAAAGCGUGGGGAUCAAACAGGAUUAGAUACCCUGGUAGUCCACGCCCUAAACUAUGGAUACUCGACAUUUGCGAUAC